This is a long non-coding RNA of Lagopus muta (rock ptarmigan), 4502 nucleotides long. RefSeq lists it as uncharacterized. The record is from RefSeq and is a predicted model, not a curated record. Lineage: Eukaryota; Metazoa; Chordata; Aves; Galliformes; Phasianidae. The transcript has 7 exons.
UAAAAACAGGGAUUUCUAUGAAAAUAAGGGAUAUUUAAGGGGAAAAACAGGGAUUUCUAUGAAAAUAAGGGAUAUUUAAGUGGAAAAACAGGGAUUUCUAUGAAAAUAAGGGAUAUUUAAGGGGAAAAACAGGGAUUUCUAUGAAAAUAAGGGAUAUUUAAGGGAAAAAAACAGGGAUUUCUAUGAAAAUAAGGGAUAUUUAAGGGGAAAAACAGGGAUUUCUAUGAAAAUAAGCGAUAUUUAAGGUGAAAAACAGGGAUUUCUAUGAAAAUAAGGGAUAUUUAAGGGGAAAAACAGGGAUUUCUAUGAAAAUAAGCGAUAUUUAAGGUGAAAAACAGGGAUUUCUAUGAAAAUAAGGGAUAUUUAAGGUUAAAAACAGGGAUUUCUAUGAAAAUAAGGGAUAUUUAAGGGGAAAAACAGGGAUUUCUAUGAAAAUAAGCGAUAUUUAAGGUGAAAAACAGGGAUUUCUAUGAAAAUAAGGGAUAUUUAAGGGGAAAAACAGGGAUUUCUGGGAAAAUAAGGGAUAUUUAAGGGGAAAAACAGGGAUUUCUGGGAAAAUAAGGGAUAUUUAAGGUGAAAAACAGGGAUUUCUAUGAAAAUAAGGGAUAUUUAAGGUUAAAAACAGGGAUUUCUAUGAAAAUAAGGGAUAUUUCAGGGGAAAAACGGGGAUUUCUGGGAAAAUAAGGGAUAUUUAAGGUUAAAAACAGGGAUUUCUAUGAAAAUAAGGGAUAUUUAAGGUGAAAAACAGGGAUUUCUAUGAAAAUAAGGGAUAUUUAAGGUUAAGAACAGGGAUUUCUAUGAAAAUAAGGGAUAUUUAAGGUUAAAAACAGGGAUUUCUGGGAAAAUAAGGGAUAUUUAAGGUGAAAAACAGGGAUUUCUAUGAAAAUAAGGGAUAUUUAAGGUUAAAAACAGGGAUUUCUAUGAAAAUAAGGGAUAUUUCAGGGGAAAAACGGGGAUUUCUGGGAAAAUAAGGGAUAUUUAAGGUUAAAAACAGGGAUUUCUAUGAAAAUAAGGGAUAUUUAAGGUGAAAAACAGGGAUUUCUAUGAAAAUAAGGGAUAUUUAAGGGGAAAAACAGGGAUUUCUAUGAAAAUAAGGGAUAUUUAAGGUUAAGAACAGGGAUUUCUAUGAAAAUAAGGGAUAUUUAAGGUGAAAAACAGGGAUUUCUGGGAAAAUAAGGGAUAUUUAAGGGGAAAAACAGGGAUUUCUAUGAAAAUAAGGGAUAUUUAAGGGGAAAAACAGGGAUUUCUAUGAAAAUAAAGGAUAUUUAAGGUGAAAAACAGGGAUUUCUAUGAAAAUAAGGGAUAUUUAAGGUUAAAAACAGGGAUUUCUAUGAAAAUAAGGGAUAUUUAAGGGGAAAAACGGGGAUUUCUGGGAAAAUAAGGGAUAUUUAAGGUGAAAAACAGGGAUUUCUGGGAAAAUAAGGGAUAUUUAAGGGGAAAAACAGGGAUUUCUAUGAAAAUAAGGGAUAUUUAAGGUGAAAAACAGGUAUUUCUAUGAAAAUAAGGGAUAUUUAAGGUUAAAAACAGGGAUUUCUAUGAAAAUAAGGGAUAUUUAAGGUUAUAAACAGGCAUUUCUAUGAAAAUAAGGGAUAUUUAAGGUUAAAAACAGGCAUUUCUAUGAAAAUAAGGGAUAUUUAAGGGGAAAAACAGGGAUUUCUAUGAAAAUAAAGGAUAUUUAAGUGGAAAAACAGGGAUUUCUAUGAAAAUAAGGGAUAUUUAAGGUGAAAAACAGGGAUUUCUGGGAAAAUAAGGGAUAUUUAAGGUGAAAAACAGGGAUUUCUAUGAAAAUAAGGGAUAUUUAAGGUUAAAAACAGGGAUUUCUGGGAAAAUAAGGGAUAUUUAAGGGGAAAAACAGGGAUUUCUGUGAAAAUAAGGGAUAUUUAAGGUUAAAAACAGGGAUUUCUAUGAAAAUAAGGGAUAUUUAAGGUUAAAAACAGGGAUUUCUAUGAAAAUAAGGGAUAUUUAAGGUUAAAAACAGGGAUUUCUAUGAAAAUAAGGGAUAUUUAAGGUUAAAAACAGGGAUUUCUAUGAAAAUAAGGGAUAUUUAAGGUUAAAAAAAGGGAUUUCUGGGAAAAUAAGGGAUAUUUAAGGUUAAAAACAGGGAUUUCUAUGAAAAUAAGGGAUAUUUAAGGUGAAAAACAGGGAUUUCUAUGAAAAUAAGGGAUAUUUAAGGGGAAAAACAGGGAUUUCUGGGAAAAUAAGGGAUAUUUAAGGUGAAAAACAGGGAUUUCUGGGAAAAUAAGGGAUAUUUAAGGGGAAAAACAGGGAUUUCUAUGAAAAUAAGGGAUAUUUAAGGUGAAAAACAGGGAUUUCUGGGAAAAUAAGGGAUAUUUAAGGUUAAAAACAGGGAUUUCUAUGAAAAUAAGGGAUAUUUAAGGUUAAAAACAGGGAUUUCUAUGAAAAUAAGGGAUAUUUAAGGUUAAAAACAGGGAUUUCUGGGAAAAUAAGGGAUAUUUAAGGUGAAAAACAGGGAUUUCUAUGAAAAUAAGGGAUAUUUAAGGGGAAAAACAGGGAUUUCUAUGAAAAUAAGGGAUAUUUAAGGUGAAAAACAGGGAUUUCUGGGAAAAUAAGGGAUAUUUAAGGUUAAAAACAGGGAUUUCUAUGAAAAUAAGGGAUAUUUAAGGGGAAAAACAGGGAUUUCUAUGAAAAUAAGGGAUAUUUAAGGGGAAAAACAGGGAUUUCUAUGAAAAUAAGGGAUAUUUAAGGGGAAAAACAGGGAUUUCUGGGAAAAUAAGGGAUAUUUAAGGUGAAAAACAGGGAUUUCUAUGAAAAUAAGGGAUAUUUAAGGUGAAAAACAGGGAUUUCUAUGAAAAUAAGGGAUAUUUAAGGUGAAAAACAGGGAUUUCUAUGAAAAUAAGGGAUGUUUAAGGGGAAAAACAGGGAUUUCUGGGAAAAUAAGGGAUAUUUAAGGUGAAAAACAGGGAUUUCUAUGAAAAUAAGGGAUAUUUAAGGGGAAAAACAGGGAUUUCUGGGAAAAUAAGGGAUAUUUAAGGUUAAAAACAGGGAUUUCUAUGAAAAUAAGGGAUAUUUAAGGUUAAAAACAGGGAUUUCUGUGAAAAUAAGGGAUAUUUAAGGGGAAAAACAGGGAUUUCUAUGAAAAUAAGGGAUAUUUAAGGUGAAAAACAGGGAUUUCUGGGAAAAUAAGGGAUAUUUAAGGGGAAAAACAGGGAUUUCUAUGAAAAUAAGGGAUAUUUAAGGGGAAAAAGAGGGAUUUCGAUGAAAAUAAGGGAUAUUUAAGGUGAAAAACAGGGAUUUCUGGGAAAAUAAGGGAUAUUUAAGGGGAAAAACAGGGAUUUCUAUGAAAAUAAGGGAUAUUUUAGGGGAAAAACAGGGAUUUCUGGGAAAAUAAGGGAUAUUUAAGGUUAAAAACAGGUAUUUCUAUGAAAAUAAGCGAUAUUUUAGGUGAAAAACAGGGAUUUCUGUGAAAAUAAGGGAUAUUUAAAGUGGAAAACAGGGAUUUCUAUGAAAAUAAGGGAUAUUUAAGGUUAAAAACAGGGAUUUCUAUGAAAAUAAGGGAUAUUUAAGGGGAAAAACAGGGAUUUCUAUGAAAAUAAGGGAUAUUUAAGGGGAAAAACAGGGAUUUCUAUGAAAAUAAGGGAUAUUUAAGGUGAAAAACAGGGAUUUCUAUGAAAAUAAGGGAUAUUUAAGGGGAAAAACAGGGAUUUCUAUGAAAAUAAGGGAUAUUUAAGGUUAAAAACAGGGAUUUCUGGGAAAAUAAGGGAUAUUUAAGGUGAAAAACAGGGAUUUCUAUGAAAAUAAGGGAUAUUUAAGGGGAAAAACAGGGAUUUCUAUGAAAAUAAGGGAUAUUUAAGGGGAAAAACAGGGAUUUCUGGGAAAAUAAGGGAUAUUUAAGGUGAAAAACAGGGAUUUCUGGGAAAAUAAGGGAUAUUUAAGGUGAAAAACAGGGAUUUCUAUGAAAAUAAGGGAUAUUUAAGGGAAAAACAGGGAUUUCUUUGAAAAUAAGGGAUAUUUAAGGUUAAAAACAGGGAUUUCUGGGAAAAUAAGGGAUAUUUAAGGGGAAAAACAGGGAAUUCUGGGAAAAUAAGGGAUAUUUAAGGUGAAAAACAGGGAUUUCUGGGAAAAUAAGGGAUAUUUAAGGUUAAAAACAGGGAUUUCUAUGAAAAUAAGGGAUAUUUAAGGUUAAAAACAGGGAUUUCUGGGAAAAUAAGGGAUAUUUAAGGGGAAAAACAGGGAUUUCUAUGAAAAUAAGGGAUAUUUAAGGUUAAAAACAGGGAUUUCUGGGAAAAUAAGGGAUAUUUAAGGGGAAAAACAGGGAUUUCUAUGAAAAUAAGGGAUAUUUAAGGUUAAAAACAGGGAUUUCUAUGAAAAUAAGGGAUAUUUAAGGUUAAAAACAGGGAUUUCUAUGAAAAUAAGGGAUAUUUAAGGUGAAAAACAGGGAUAUCUGUGAAAAUAAGGGAUAUUUAAGGUGAAAAACAGGGAUUUCUAUGAAAAUAAGGGAUAUUUAAGGUUAAAAACGGGGAUUUCUAUGAAAAUAAGGGAUA